RNAcentral lists this unclassified non-coding RNA (21 nucleotides) under Mus musculus (house mouse). Its description in RNAcentral is "oocyte_clustered_small_RNA8646". Lineage: Eukaryota; Metazoa; Chordata; Mammalia; Rodentia; Muridae. The record is from RNAcentral.
CUUGUUGACGUCAAGGCCCCG